This 482-nucleotide ribosomal RNA is filed under the name uncultured bacterium. RNAcentral describes it as "partial 16S ribosomal RNA". It matches the Rfam family "Bacterial small subunit ribosomal RNA", at positions 30 to 507 of the family's 1533-position model. The record is from RNAcentral.
AUUGAACGCUGGCGGCAUGCUUUACACAUGCAAGUCGAACGGUAACAGCACUUCGGCGGCUGACGAGUGGCGAACGGGUGAGUAAUACAUCGGAACGUGCCUAGUAGUGGGGGAUAACUACUCGAAAGAGUAGCUAAUACCGCAUGAGAUCUAAGGAUGAAAGCAGGGGACCUUCGGGCCUUGCGCUACUAGAGCGGCUGAUGGCAGAUUAGGUAGUUGGUGGGAUAAAAGCUUACCAAGCCGACGAUCUGUAGCUGGUCUGAGAGGACGACCAGCCACACUGGGACUGAGACACGGCCCAGACUCCUACGGGAGGCAGCAGUGGGGAAUUUUGGACAAUGGGCGCAAGCCUGAUCCAGCAAUGCCGCGUGCAGGAUGAAGGCCUUCGGGUUGUAAACUGCUUUUGUACGGAACGAAAAGCCCUCUUCUAAUACAGGAGGGUCAUGACGGUACCGUAAGAAUAAGCACCGGCUAACUACGUG